RNAcentral lists this ribosomal RNA (492 nucleotides) under uncultured bacterium. RNAcentral describes it as "partial 16S ribosomal RNA". It matches the Rfam family "Bacterial small subunit ribosomal RNA", at positions 29 to 507 of the family's 1533-position model. The record is from RNAcentral.
AGUGAACGCUGGCGGUAGGCCUAACACAUGCGAGUCGAACGGCAUCACAGUAAGUGCUUGCUCUUACGUAUGGCGAGUGGCGGACGGGUGAGGAAUACAUCGGAAUCUUCUUUUUCGUGGGGGAUAACGUAGGCAAACUUAAGCCAGUACCGCAUACGACCUCCGGUUGCAAGCAGGGGAUAUUCGGCUCUUGCGCGCUUCUAUGAGCCGAGGCCGGAUUGCCUUGUCGGCGGGGUAAAGGCCCACCAAGGCGACGAUCCGUAGCUGGUCGGAGAGGAUGAUCGGCCACACUGGAACUGAGACACGGUCCAGACUCCUACGGGAGGCAGCAGAGGGGAGUAUUGGACAAUGGGCGCAAGCCUGAUCCAGCCAUACCGCGUGGGUGAAGAAGGCCUUCGGGUUGUAAAGCCCUUUUGUUGGGAAAGAAAGGCAGCAGGUUAAUACCCCGCUGUUCUGACGGUACCCAAAGAAUAAGCACCGGCUAACUUCGCG